AUCACAUUCCGAAAUGUUAAGUGUUCGUAAUGAUGAUAAUGAAGAUAACAUUUAUACAUAUCUUACUUAUGUGUUUUCUAUGAUCGAAUGCGAAACCUGUUACUGUUUGUAAAUGAUUUGAUUGCGGUGAAACGUCAAAAAACAACAAAAUAGCGGCGCUAAGUAGGUAACGUUACAUUGCCCUACCUGGGAGUGUGGACCAGACGCUCUAUAAAAAAGAAGAAAUGAAUAUUAACCUUGACGAAAUUCGACGAAAAACGUUGAUUUUGGUAAAUGCUAAUAAUUUUGUAUAUUACUGUCGUAUCAUUUAUACAAAAUGGAGCCAAAUCAAACAAUAGAUAUCGCGUAAAAAUUCAGGAAUGUAUAGCGGACAACACGGUUAGCGACAAUGGUAGAAGACUCGCCGUUUGCUAGCCAUUGCAGUGCAUUGCGAAGCUGAACGCCUGUCAUGUGAAGACUGGGAAGUGUCCGGGGUUUUGAUACAAAUUCAAAUUUAUAAAAACAUAGGAAAAAGAAAGACCGUCUUAAAGUAUACAUGGUCAUAUGUUUGUUUGUCAUAAUUCGCGAGAGAAGACGGCGAAAAAAUUACCUCACGAUCUGCGCUUUACUGUAAUGGCUGACUGUAUUCGCAUAGGAGGCAAGGCAGCGAGGCAAAUGGGAAGCUAGUGACAGAGGCGCAGUUCAGUUCAACUUUUUCUAACCGUGUUUUCUAGAGAAACAAGCCCGUAACUAUAAAAUGUAACGACGGCAAAAUAAAGUUCAAUCUUUCGUGAUUAGAACGACGCCAUUGCGAGAUUUUUCCGAUGCUUUUAAAACCUUUUAAUCGGGGGUUGAAAUUAAGUGGUCGCCGCGGUCGCUCUGCCCUCUAUUGCAUGCAGUGCAAUGGCUGUGCGUUGACACAAAGAGAAGGAGCCAUAUUCUCCAUGUUAGUGGAUGAAGACGAGCGGCCAUUAGGAGCUCAUAGAAACCAAGGCAGUAGCACAGCCCGCUCAUAGACACAGCACAGACCCAAUGUAUUACUAUACAAACCGGCUAGUGCAAUAGGAAUCAAUCGGGGAAAUAUUUUGUCAAGAUCGCCGGCUUUCCAGACAUAUUUGUCGUGUUGCAAAGCGAACUGAAGGGCGGGAGGAGACAUUUGAUGGGGACUUUCUUUCAUGAAGAAGGCAUUCUCACAAAAUGGAAGAAGAAAUAUUGCUGUCGUUGUUGACCUCCUUUUCCUCAACGAAAGCCUAUGCGCCAUUACUACUUCGGUCGACACAGCUUAACUGGGAGUUACAGUAGCAUUUAAUAGGAACAUGUAUAGGGAAAAUUGAGCAGUUUUAAACACUAUUCGCAAAUCUUGUGGAAUUAUUUCUAGAUUAAGAGAAAAUGAAUACUGAUAAAAUAAGAUUAUCAAAUCACAUUGAAUCGCAGUUUUUAAGUGUUAUAUUCAAUAAAUACGCCUUUAUGUAAAAUAUGUGUCUUUUUUGUGUCAAAGUUAUUUGUUUGAUGAAACAUGAACAUUAAUGAAACAGGGUGUCUCCAGAAGUCAUAUUAAUAUUGCUUAUGAGGUUUUAGGUAUUUUUUUUGUUGUCAUUUUGUCUUAAGAGCCAGGUCCACUGUUAUAGUCACACAGAGGGCUAAGGUGUAUGUUAUGCAGUUGCACUUGGGGAACUUUUGUAGUUUUCAUGUGAAAGUGAUACGGAAAGUGGGUCGUUGCAUUGAAAAAUAUAUUUAUUUUAUUUUUUGUGUUUUUUUUAUUCUUGAAUCCUUAGCGAUGUGUUUAGCCAUUUUCAAACCACCUCAUUGGGAGUUGACCACUGCGUUUUAUUUAAAGUCCACUGCGCAGAUUACUUCAAUAAAUAAACUCCUUUUCAUUGCAUAGCCCCGUCUGUGCCGUACGGCUUUAUUUCAUCGGACUGUUUUUAACGGGUCCUAACUUAGUGCAGUUUGACAGCUAGGAGGGCGGGUCACCUAGGUAGCGUAUCAAUACUAGUGGUCAAUAGAGAAAAAUAAAAGAAGUGUCCAUUGUUAUGACAUGCUAGUACAUCUCACCUGCUAUACAAUGUAUAUUUAGAAUUAUGGAUUUAAGAUAUAAUUAAUACACUUUUAUUUAUUUAAAAAAAAAAAAAAAAAAAAUUUCGCUUGGGGGAAUAGUUGGGUCUCUGUUAAUUAUAGUGUGGUCUAGACGUACUCUAUCUGUAAAUUGUCCUGAGAUAACGUCUGUUAUGUUAUGA
Molecule: long non-coding RNA, 2216 nt
Organism: Sander lucioperca (pikeperch)
Lineage: Eukaryota; Metazoa; Chordata; Actinopteri; Perciformes; Percidae
Exons: 3
Source: RefSeq, a predicted model, not a curated record